ACGCAUACGCGCCGUGUAUCAACCCCCCGUGUACGCAACAGUUCGCAGGCUGCACACGCACACGCGGCGGGCGCGCACACGCUCACGAUCCGCGCGAGUCCUCGUGCAACAUUGAUCAAUCGGCCAGUGACGCAUGCAGAACGCUCGGAUCGUCGGGUAUAUAAGCCAACCGCCAAAAAGCAGAGGCAUCACAUUCGGUUACUGAUCAUCAGCAGCUGAUCCUCCAAAAGCUCAUCAACCAUGAAGUGCUUCCUCGCUAUCCUCCUCCUGGCUCUCGUAGCCAUUGCUAUGGCGGUGGAGAAGACCCCCGAAGCUACAAAGACGCAGGAGACAACCGCCGAUCCCGGCAGGGACAAGAGAGGCCUCGCGUACUACUCGCCGUACAUAUACUCCCCGUACGCAUACAGCGGCUACAACCUGCCAUACGCGUACUCUCACUACGGCGGCUACCCCUAUUACCGUUACAAUCCCUAUUACAACAGCCCCUACAUCUACUACUAAUCUGAAACAUCGGAAUCCACGGGAUUAAAACGGAAGACGGAAAUCUUAAUUGAAAAACCCCAUUACCUCAUGGAGACCUCACGGAAGAAGUUCUGCUUUCCAAAAUUCAAUUGAUCCCGAAAGCACUGGGUGUAUAUGUUCGCACUUGAGUUCUCUUGACUGUCGGUUUUUUUUUCCUAUGCUUAUUGUAAUAAUAAAAUUGCACUACAUGUGAAAGAAAA
Molecule: RNA transcript, 722 nt
Organism: Monomorium pharaonis (pharaoh ant)
Lineage: Eukaryota; Metazoa; Arthropoda; Insecta; Hymenoptera; Formicidae
Exons: 2
Source: RefSeq, a predicted model, not a curated record